GACGAACCGUGCGAACGUUGUUCGGAAUCACUGGGCUUAAAGGGCGCGUAGGCGGGUUUGCAAGUCUGCGGUGAAAGCCUCCAGCUUAACUGGAGAAGUGCCGUGGAUACUGCGAAUCUUGAGGAGGGUAGGGGCGUCUGGAACGUUGGGUGGAGCGGUGAAAUGCGUUGAUAUCCAACGGAACUCCGGUGGCGAAGGCGAGGCGCUGGACCCUUUCUGACGCUGAGGCGCGAAAGCCAGGGGAGCGAACGGG
RNAcentral lists this ribosomal RNA (253 nucleotides) under uncultured bacterium. RNAcentral describes it as "partial 16S ribosomal RNA". It matches the Rfam family "Bacterial small subunit ribosomal RNA", at positions 524 to 776 of the family's 1533-position model. The record is from RNAcentral.